GACGAACGCUGGCGGCGUGCUUAACACAUGCAAGUCGAACGGAAAGGCCCUGCUUUUGUGGGGUGCUCGAGUGGCGAACGGGUGAGUAACACGUGAGUAACCUGCCCUUGACUUUGGGAUAACUUCAGGAAACUGGGGCUAAUACCGGAUAGGAGCUCCUGCUGCAUGGUGGGGGUUGGAAAGUUUCGGCGGUUGGGGAUGGACUCGCGGCUUAUCAGCUUGUUGGUGGGGUAGUGGCUUACCAAGGCUUUGACGGGUAGCCGGCCUGAGAGGGUGACCGGCCACAUUGGGACUGAGAUAGGGCCCAGACUCCUACGGGAGGCAGCAGUCGGGAGUAUUGCGCAAUGGGCGGAAGCCUGAUGCAGCAGCGCCGCGUGCGGGAUGACGGCCUUCGGGUUGUGAACCGCUUUCGCCUGUGACGAGGAGUGAGUGACGGUAAUGAGUAAAGAAGCACCGGCUAACUACGUG
This 468-nucleotide ribosomal RNA is filed under the name uncultured bacterium. RNAcentral describes it as "partial 16S ribosomal RNA". It matches the Rfam family "Bacterial small subunit ribosomal RNA", at positions 28 to 507 of the family's 1533-position model. The record is from RNAcentral.